This 223-nucleotide long non-coding RNA is filed under the name Elaeis guineensis (African oil palm). Its description in RNAcentral is "long non-coding RNA (EGUI_LNC031173)". The record is from RNAcentral. Lineage: Eukaryota; Viridiplantae; Streptophyta; Magnoliopsida; Arecales; Arecaceae.
UAUAUUGUAUAAAGCCACAGCUUUAUUUGAAGAUGACACCAAGAGAAGGAUUUACAUGGCUCUCAAAAAACCAAAGUUCCAAUUAGAAUGGUUGAAGUUCACUUUAAGAGAGUAAAGUUGAAUGCUCCAAUACUUUGAUAGUUAUAGUUCUGACUUUGUGAACUCUAUUACUUUUAACUAUGUGUAACUUGUAGUACUUUUUGUUUGUGAACUCUAUAGCUAU